AAUUACCCACUCCCGGCACGGGGAGGUAGUGACGAAAAAUAACAAUACGGGACUCUUUUGAGACCCCGUAAUUGGAAUGAGUACACUCUAAAUCCUUUAACGAGGAUCUAUUGGAGGGCAAGUCUGGUGCCAGCAGCCGCGGUAAUUCCAGCUCCAAUAGCGUAUAUUAAAGUUGUUGCGGUUAAAAAGCUCGUAGUUGGAUCUCAGUUCCAGACGGGCGGUCCGCCUAACGGUGGUUACUGCCUGGCCUGAACAGCCAGCCGGUUUCCCUAGAUGAUCUUCACCGGUUGUCUUGGGUGACCGGCACGUUUACUUUGAAAAAAUUAGAGUGCUCAAAGCAGGCGUGUAGCCUGAAUAAUGGUGCAUGGAAUAAUGGAAUAGGACUUCGUUUCUAUUUUGUUGGUUUUCGGAACACGAGGUAAUGAUUAAGAGGGACAGACGGGGGCAUUCGUAUUGCGACGCUAGAGGUGAAAUUCUUGGACCGUCG
Molecule: ribosomal RNA, 487 nt
Filed under: Macrothele jingzhao
Lineage: Eukaryota; Metazoa; Arthropoda; Arachnida; Araneae; Macrothelidae
Description: SSU rRNA
Rfam family: Eukaryotic small subunit ribosomal RNA
Source: RNAcentral